UCUGCAGAGAAAACGAUUGGCAUUUGACGUCUUGCAAGAAGAGAGAAGAAAAACUAAGUUCCCGAAGCGGGCCACGAUUGGUCGCACUUCGUGUGACGUCCAGUGGCCAAUGCCAAAGGGAUUCCAAGGGCAGUCUCACGGGAAAGAGGCGGGGUAGCCAGACGUCCGUUACCGUAUAUAUGGCACUGGUCGCUUCUGAAAUUGUCUUAGUUUUCUUUUUUAAACCGGCUUCUUUGUUUCCUAAUCCUCCUUCAAGAUGAUGAUGAUUUUAGGCCAGACGCUUUAAUUCCUUGUAACCCCAUGGCCUCACACAUAGUAGGCGCUCAAGUAUUCCCUGAAAUAAUACUCCGAAUUAACCUGCUCAUGUAUGAAAAUACCAAAUUCGCCAGUGAAACAGCCAGAUAUUUGUUAGACAUGAACGAUGUGUCAGGUACUGGAUUUAAUAUGAAAACUCUUGCUCCUCAGAACAGCGUUGUGAGGUAUAUGUUACGAGAAUGCUUACAUUCCAGUGAGGAGACUGAGGCACAGGGCAAUUUGCUGAAGAUCAGAGAAUGAGGAAGUAGCAAGACUGGCACUCAAGUACGUUCUCUCUGCAGUUAUAACUACUAUGAAUAACAGUUUUAAACAAAUUCUUGUAGGUUUCAGGGAUGAUCUAAUCCCUGAUAAUUCAUCAAGGAAUCUCUUCUACUUCUCUUUCAUCUUUUGUGGAAGAGAUAUACAUCCCAAAUUUUAGACACAUUUAAAACUUGCAGGCAUGUUCUAAGUGCUUUCUGUUUGCAAACUAUGAUGUAUCAUCUUCUUGGAAGUUAUUGCAGUAAAACAUGUGAACAGCUCUGAGGAUGCUUAAAGAUAAUCCUUGAAGAGGAAUUGGAAAAUAAGUGAGAUCCUAAAUCAAAAAGAUAAGUGUCCUUACCGGUGAAAUGGAUAUUGUAAGGCCACCCCACAAUGCUGUGAGGUUGGAGCUAGAGUAUGUAAAGUGCCUCUUCUGUUGCCACUACCUGGAGAUUUGUUGUAGCCUAUUGACUGUCAUCAAAGAAAACCAAUCACCUAACCUAAAGCCUCAAGCUUUUUAUCAGCAAAAAUGUUUUAUGGCAGAAGGGCCACCUCGAAGAGAUUUCUGCCACAUCACAGGGCAAGAAAGCCACAGACAUUCCCCGACCCUCAAGCUAAGCAGUCGCCUUGAUUGGAAGGACCAGGCCAGUCAGCACCAAAACCAUGAGACUGAAAAUCAAACUCCAGAGUGGACAAAGAACAUCUCCAAAUCCCUGUGGGGACCAGUGAUGCUGGGACCUGACAUCUGCUUCCUAUCUUGGCACUUUCAGUAAUUCCCUGACCUGAUUAACACAGCCCUGGGGAAGAGAGAGGGCCUCCGUUGAUAAGAUUAUUGUCACUGCAGCUGAGUGGGGGCUUGAAAAAAAAAACUCAGUUACAGAAAAAAUUCUGUUUGUUACACAUUUGAGUUUGUAGACCGAAGCUCAUUCCUGCUAUGCUGUUAUCUGUGAGUAUUCUAUCAUAACCAACAGUUUUUAUGUUCAAUGUUAUAAGAUUUUCCUUUACUCAAAGAUCAUGAGGUUUCAUUUUUUUAACAUUUUUAUUUGGUGCCUAUAAUUGACAAAAACAAACUGAGGGACACCAACAAACACUGCCAUGCCUGGCAUCAUCACCUCACUAGGUUAUGUGUUCCUGUAGGACAGGGUCCAUAUAUUUCCUUUAAAUCUCCCACUUGUUCAGUAGCACACAUGAUGCUAGUACUUAGUAGGUACUCAGUAAAUAUUGAAUGAAAGAGUCAUGAACAAAAUAUGCACUGAAAACUUUGGGUGUUGAUUCUUCUUCUUGGUAGUGCAAUAUUUAAGAUACUUAGGUUACAAAUACUUUAAUAUUAGUUGUCAAAAAUAUAUUUGAGCAUAAAUAAAAUUAAGGAGCUUCAAAGUGAAUAUAAUAGUUUAAAGAGUACUUCACAUUUUUGACCUGUGUUUUUAGGUGUUUAGAACCACACUUCUGCUUUGAGUUUUAAAUAACUACUUUCAGUACCACAAUAAUAAUUGAUGGUUUUAUUUUUUAUUGUCAUUUCUUAUUCCUUUUACAAUCAGAUCGUAAUAAAGAUGCAUUCGCAGACUUCAACUACUCAUCCCAUAGGUCCUUCAUGAGCUCCUUGGAACAGUGUUUUGUCUUUGGGUUCUCAGUACGCAGCACAGUGCCUGGAACCCAGUAUAAGACCAAUAGCCUGUGCCGAAUGAGUAUGAGCAAACCUUUCCUGAUUCUCAGGCACUUCCUAACUGAGCUCUCCUGUGACCAAACUUUUAGAACACAUUAUUUUUUGCCUUAGGAUAUGAUUAGGUAGGUCUCUCUUCCACAUAUUCCACUAAAUCAGGGGUUCUCAAAAUUGAGUAUUAGAGUCACCUGGAGAGCUUAUGAAAACCUCUUUGCUAGGCCCCAACCCACAGUUUCUGAUUUAGAAAGUUUGGAGUAGGCACAUGGGAAUUUGCAUUUGCAGGUUCUGAGGUGAUGUUGAUACUGUUGAUUAUCGACCAUACUUUAUAAACCACUGUACAAAAUUAAGUUGCUUGAGGGAGGGGGCUAUGUCUUCCUCAUUUCAGGAUUCCUGGCAGCCUCUGCCAUAGUACCUGGGACACGGGAGUAGCUCAAGAAAUAGUUGACUUGAGCAAUAGUUCAAAAAGUUUAUUUUACUGAAUUUAAGAUUACAGGUAUAUGAAUAUAUGUACAUAUAUCCUUAAAUGAGCUAAUACACACAAAAGCUCUUAAAACAUGGAAUGUAGACCUAAGUUUGCUUAAAAAAAUAAAUGUAACCUUUCUCUGCUUAUCACCAUGAUACCCAAACAUUCAAGAGGUGUACUCUUAACAAGACUGCUUAUAAAUGAGAGUAGCAGAAUGUUAGCACUAAAAGCCUCUUUUAAAGAUAACCUAGUUUAUUAAUAUUGAGCAUCAGGAUUUUUCAAAAUUGGUUACGAGCUUCCUACAUUCAGAUAGACACAGCAAGAACAUGGUAGACACACUUACCCUCGGGAGCUUAUAGCCCGUGAGGAAGUGAGGAAUCCAGAAGUAUGAGCAGGUGUAAGUAGAGGAUGUUAAGUUUGGGGAAUGGCUAACAACUAUGAAAGGAUUCACUUGUAUCUAUUCAACUCCUAAUCAUCAUUCAUCUGUUAGAACUCAUCUUUUGCACAUUCUAUAAAAUACUCUUAGCAUGUUCAGUAUGGGCCCAAGGGAUAUUUACUAAAUAUUCAUAAAUGAAAUUGAAAAUUCUUUUGAAAAACACAUGACUUUGAUAUUUCUUCUUCACUGUGACCAAUCAAAACAACAUGAGGAAUUUAGAAUUAGCCUGAUGUAAAUACAAGUGUGUGUCAUCCAAGUGUGUGUCAUAUGUGAAAUAGACUUCUCAGAAAGUUCCAGGAAGAACAAAUGUUUCUGGGUGGAAUCCUGUGCACAUGUUGAACUUACCAUUUAAUAAUCCUAUGGGAAAUCCUUUUGCAAAGGAAAUAAUUAUUUCUGAAUUAUCUUUUUUCCCCUCUUUUUUGUUAAUACACAUUUCGACUUCUAGAUUGUUUAAAGAAGAACACAAAUGCUCC
Long non-coding RNA from Ailuropoda melanoleuca (giant panda), 3584 nucleotides. RefSeq lists it as uncharacterized. Lineage: Eukaryota; Metazoa; Chordata; Mammalia; Carnivora; Ursidae. The transcript has 4 exons. The record is from RefSeq and is a predicted model, not a curated record.